Molecule: long non-coding RNA, 1099 nt
Filed under: Brassica napus (rape)
Lineage: Eukaryota; Viridiplantae; Streptophyta; Magnoliopsida; Brassicales; Brassicaceae
Description: long non-coding RNA (BNAP_LNC003310)
Source: RNAcentral
GAUCUACUCGUUUACCGGUGAUUAAUGUCUUCGUUGUCCCAGUGGAGUGGCUUGUGUGCGCGUGUUUCUCCAGCGCUCGAGGCGUCUCGAGGUUUGGGGUUCUCGCAGCCCAUUGUGCAGUUAGUAAGGCGAGGUUCCUCCUCUUCGGCGCUUCUGAGGCAUCUCUGGGUUCGUCGUGUGUUGGCUUCGGCAGUGUCUCGUUGGCGUGUGCGUCUGCGGCUUUGGUUCGUUUCAGAGUCGUCUAUGGCUUUGUCUCUGCCCGUGUUCAUGGUGCUUCUUUCUUGACCCCCUCAGGCCUCGGCUCUUCCCCCUUCGGCUUCUCCUGUGUUCGUCUCGGCUGCGCUUCAUUGUUCUUGCUUAUGUUCCGGUUAGCUAGCCGGCCAGUGUUCUGGUUCUCAGGAUCUGUCCGUGUCUGAGUCGCUCUUUCUCUCCGAGGGGUCUUCGGUUUAGGUGGUGUCUCGGGUUUUCUUGGUUUGAACUCAUCGUCCCAGCACUGGAGUUAGUCGCUUGCGUUCUGUCUUCCAGUGGAUGGGUUCUUCCGGCUGGUGUUGAUGUUCUGGUGUGCCUUUGUGGAGAUGUUGCUGUCCUCAACCCGUUUUGUAAAGGUCUUUGGCGUAUAGCUACUUUGUGGCUGUCCGUCGGAAUAAGGCUCGGUCUUGUUAAUGUAGGUGUGCUAGGCCUCUGGCUUGACUGGUGUCGUGUUGACGGAUGUUCAGGAAGUCUGUCUCGAGCUGUUUUUGGUCGAGCCAAAUCAUAAAGAGCAGUUCAUCGGAGAGGCCAAAAUUACCGGGUUCUGUCUCUUGUUUUAACUGUAGUUUAACCUCUUGCGGCAAGUGGUAAGUAUGGAAUGGUUGAAGCCGCUUGAUUUCGGUUUGGUUGGUUGUGUCUGUCCCUGCUAGACUAGAUCGAGUUGUUUAGAUUUUGUUUAUUUUUCUGUUUCUUGUUGUCUCUGUACUUCUGUCAAAAAUUUGAAAAUUGACAAUAAUAUCUUUACAUUUAAAAAAAAAAAAAAAAAACUAUUAGUACCAAAUUUUUCAGGAAAGACCUAACGUGGAAAACGUGAGGUUGGGACAGGUUAGUUGAAACUUGAAAGAAAUCA